Molecule: ribosomal RNA, 253 nt
Filed under: uncultured bacterium
Lineage: Bacteria
Description: partial 16S ribosomal RNA
Rfam family: Bacterial small subunit ribosomal RNA
Source: RNAcentral
UACGGAGGGGGCGAGCGUUAUUCGGAAUUAUUGGGCGUAAAGGGCGCGUAGGCGGCAUGGUAAGUCAAAGGUGAAAUCCCUCGGCUCAACUGAGGAAUUGCCUUUGAAACUGCCAAGCUUGAGGCCGGGAGGGGGUAGCGGAAUUCCCAGUGUAGCGGUGAAAUGCGUAGAUAUUGGGAGGAACACCAGUGGCGAAAGCGGCUCUCUGGUUCACACCUGACGCUGAGGGGCGAAAGCGUGGGGAGCGAACGGG